AUCUGAUGCUGGGGGCAUCUGGUGCAUAAUUUGUUGAACCGCUCCCAGUACGCAUAUAAGGUCUCUCUUGGUUGUUGCUUGAUGCCACAUAUCUCUUUUCUCAAACU
Molecule: small nucleolar RNA, 107 nt
Organism: Coffea arabica (coffee)
Lineage: Eukaryota; Viridiplantae; Streptophyta; Magnoliopsida; Gentianales; Rubiaceae
Source: RefSeq, a predicted model, not a curated record